UGCAGUCGAACGAUGAAGCYCAGCUUGCUGGGUGGAUUAGUGGCGAACGGGUGASUAACACGUGAGUAACCUGCCCUUAACUCUGGGAUAAGCCUGGGAAACUGGGUCUAAUACCGGAUAGGAGCGYCYACCGCAUGGUGGGUGUUGGAAAGAUUUAUCGGUUUUGGAUGGACUCGCGGCCUAUCAGCUUGUUGGUGAGGUAAUGGCUCACCAAGGCGACGACGGGUAGCCGGCCUGAGAGGGUGACCGGCCACACUGGGACUGAGACACGGCCCAGACUCCUACGGGAGGCAGCAGUGGGGAAUAUUGCACAAUGGGCGCAAGCCUGAUGCAGCGACGCCGCGUGAGGGAUGACGGCCUUCGGGUUGUAAACCUCUUUCAGUAGGGAAGAAGCGAAAGUGACGGUACCUGCAGAAGAAGCACCGGCUAACUACGUGCCAGCAGCCGCGGUAAUACGUAGGGUGCGAGCGUUAUCCGGAAUUAUUGGGCGUAAAGAGCUCGUAGGCGGUUUGUCGCGUCUGUCGUGAAAGUCCGGGGCUUAACCCCGGAUCUGCGGUGGGUACGGGCAGACUAGAGUGCAGUAGGGGAGACUGGAAUUCCUGGUGUAGCGGUGGAAUGCGCAGAUAUCAGGAGGAACACCGAUGGCGAAGGCAGGUCUCUGGGCUGUAACUGACGCUGAGGAGCGAAAGCAUGGGGAGCGAACAGGAUUAGAUACCCUGGUAGUCCAUGCCGUAAACGUUGGGCACUAGGUGUGGGGACCAUUCCACGGUUUCCGCGCCGCAGCUAACGCAUUAAGUGCCCCGCCUGGGGAGUACGGCCGCAAGGCUAAAACUCAAAGGAAUUGACGGGGGCCCGCACAAGCGGCGGAGCAUGCGGAUUAAUUCGAUGCAACGCGAAGAACCUUACCAAGGCUUGACAUGUUCUCGAUCGCCGUAGAGAUACGGUUUCCCCUUUGGGGCGGGUUCACAGGUGGUGCAUGGUUGUCGUCAGCUCGUGUCGUGAGAUGUUGGGUUAAGUCCCGCAACGAGCGCAACCCUCGUUCCAUGUUGCCAGCACGUAAUGGUGGGGACUCAUGGGAGACUGCCGGGGUCAACUCGGAGGAAGGUGAGGACGACGUCAAAUCAUCAUGCCCCUUAUGUCUUGGGCUUCACGCAUGCUACAAUGGCCGGUACAAUGGGUUGCGAUACUGUGAGGUGGAGCUAAUCCCAAAAAGCCGGUCUCAGUUCGGAUUGGGGUCUGCAACUCGACCCCAUGAAGUCGGAGUCGCUAGUAAUCGCAGAUCAGCAA
RNAcentral lists this ribosomal RNA (1287 nucleotides) under Micrococcus sp. RNAcentral's name for it is "bacterial SSU rRNA". Lineage: Bacteria; Bacillati; Actinomycetota; Actinomycetes; Micrococcales; Micrococcaceae. The record is from RNAcentral.